This 457-nucleotide ribosomal RNA is filed under the name Bacilli bacterium oral taxon C43. Its description in RNAcentral is "bacterial SSU rRNA". It matches the Rfam family "Bacterial small subunit ribosomal RNA", at positions 28 to 473 of the family's 1533-position model. The record is from RNAcentral. Lineage: Bacteria; Bacillati; Bacillota; Bacilli.
GACGAACGCUGGCGGCGUGCCUAAUACAUGCAAGUCGAGCGGAGUUUUUAAAAGCUUGCUUUUAAAAACUCAGCGGCGGACGGGUGAGUAACACGUGGGCAACCUGCCCUGUAGACUGGGAUAACUUCGGGAAACCGAAGCUAAUACCGGAUAAUCAUAGAAGUUGCAUAGCUUCUAUGUAAAAGUUGGGUUUACCUAACACUACAGGAUGGGCCCGCGUCGCAUUAGCUAGUUGGUAAGGUAACGGCUUACCAAGGCGACGAUGCGUAGCCGACCUGAGAGGGUGAUCGGCCACACUGGGACUGAGACACGGCCCAGACUCCUACGGGAGGCAGCAGUAGGGAAUCUUCCGCAAUGGACGAAAGUCUGACGGAGCAACGCCGCGUGAGCGAUGAAGGCCUUCGGGUCGUAAAGCUCUGUUGUUAGGGAAGAACAAGUGCUAUUCGAAUAGGGUGGC